RNAcentral lists this long non-coding RNA (2412 nucleotides) under Salvia miltiorrhiza (redroot sage). Its description in RNAcentral is "long non-coding RNA (SMIL_LNC007428)". The record is from RNAcentral. Lineage: Eukaryota; Viridiplantae; Streptophyta; Magnoliopsida; Lamiales; Lamiaceae.
UUGAACAUUUAUUCAACAUAUUUAAAAUAUAUAUAAAAAUAUGAUACCUUUAUAAAUCGGUUACAUAGAAAUUUCUAUGCAUUACCUCUUUGUAAUGCAAUUUUUUCCAAUUAAAAGACAAGAAAAUUGAACAUUCUUCUUUUUCCCGUUUCACAUGAUACUUCAACUUGUAUUUGCUUUUUAUCAUUCUAAAUAAAAUAAUACUAUACUCCAUUCGUCUCACAAAAACAUGAAUAUUUUGCCAUUUUGAGGCGUCUCACAAAAACAUGAACAUUUCUAUUUUUAUACACUACCCCACCACAAUUCCUUUACUUUUAAUUAUGUAUAGUUUUUAUAAAGUGGGCCUUUUUUUCCACUCAUAAUAUAAUUUUAUCUAAUAUUUCUUAAAAUUCGUGUCACUUACAAAUGUUCAUAUUUUUGUGGGACGGAUGAAGUAAUAAUUAAAGUAUAAGUUUAUCACAUUUUAUGUUUGAAUGCAGUGAAACCCUUUUCCAACGGUGCCUCUGCUACAGCUAAUAUUUGGAGCAAUGAGGACAAAACUCAGCAGAUGUAGUGGAUACUGUUCAUCCGUUACGUGACUUUUAUUUUCUCUCUCUCUUAUUUCUUCCUUGUAUUUUAUGAUUUAUCAAAAAUAUUUAAAUAUGAUUGAGCAUAAAUAUAUAGGAUACUAUAAUAAUUAAAUGACAUAAUUAUUUAAUGAUAGAAAGCAUAAAAAUAGAAUAUUCUAUUGAGUUCAAUGUAGAAUUGAUUGUAAGUCUUUGUGCUUUAUAAAUUAGUUACAUGAGACAAGAAGAUUGUACAUUCUUCCUUUUCCCGUUUUCACACAACACUUCAACGUGUGGAAAAAAAUUUAUAAAACAAUAUAUCUAUCUUUGGUCAUCGUUAAUCACCACAAAAUCUUCCUCUCCAAAUAAGCCGAGAGUUGGGAGAAAGAUAAUUACAUAUUUAGAAGUUGACAUUGAUGAAAUUCUAAAAAUAGAGAUAAAUGAGAAAGAAUAUUUUUUUUAACACUUAAAGUAUCAAAAUGAUAUUAUUUUGAUGUUUAAGUUGAAAAAAAAAAAGUUUUAAGAAAUAGUUCAUGUUAGACUCUGAUGAGAUGAGUAUCUCUUCGUCACCAAAUAUUUUAUAUAAAAAAAGAUAAAUAUUUAAAGAAUUUUUAAGAGAAAACAAAAUUUAGAGACACAAAACACUUAUAAUACUUAUUUUUAUAUAUAAAAAGUGAUUGUUAACCGAACUAUACUUGUACUCAUUAAAUUUAUAACUUUAAUAGUUAUAUAUUUAUGCUUACAAAGUUUAUCUAUUGGUGCUAUGGUUAAAGUAUCAUUUUGACUUUAAAGGUGUGAAGAAUAAUCAUGCAUGCUUCAAUCCAUAUACCGCGAUAUGAAAAUGUAAACACUAGACACAAAUUACUGAUCUUCACCAGCAAAUGGUGUAAGCUACAAAUAAAAUUAUGAAAAUUAUAUGUGAAAUAGUGUCAAAAAAAUAUGAUGCAUAAAUAUAGGAGGACAGAUGAAGUACUAUAAAAUCAAAUGAUUAUACUAAUAAAAAAAAAGAAAAAAAAUCUCAAAUUUGACUACACACAAUCAACAAGCAGAAUCGAAAAAUUCAUCUUCACCUUCCCUACUGCGCUUUAAGGUCGGCGGUAGCAGCUGCUGCUUCCUUGCUAUGUGUGAUGCAAGCUGAGAACUUAGAGAGAGAAACAGACAAACUCAGUGAGAGAGAGAGAGAGAGAGAGGAUUAAGGAGCAGAAUUGGAUGAGUGAUGCAAGCUAGCAUUUAAUUAAUUCAUUCAAGAUAUGGUUUUCCUUUUUAAUUUUUUAUAUUUCAAUCUUGGCCGACGCGUUUUUUAAUACUUUGACUAUGACCAGUUAGUUGAUGAAUGUUUUGGUGGGUGGUAUUAACAUAAUCCCUCCCAUCCUUAUAAAAAAAAUUUAUUUCUAAACGGUACAAAUUAUCAUAGGAUCUCGCUUUAUUGUGAGUAGAAAACUCACAAAAAAUAAAUUAGAUUGAUUUUAUGAAGACGAACAAAAAUAACAAAUUGAAUACAUUUUAUGAGGACGAGGGGGUAAAAAAUUGUUGAAUAUAGUAUUUAGUUAAAAUUUUAAUAAUGUGGUAAAGGUAUUAAAAUAUAUAAAUAUGCUAUCUUUAUAAAUUGGUUACAUAGAAAUUUAUAUACAUCUCUAUAUAAUGCGCUUCUUUUUCCAAUUAGGGUGCGUUCUCUUUGAUUGUAAAUUUAUCAUGAGAAAAUUAGGGAAAAACAAAAUUUUACCAUUUAAAUCAUUCCUUUCUUUUUCCACAUUUCCUACUUGACCCUUACCCAUUUCUCAUUUACACUACAAAGGAGGGAUAAUAUUAUCCCUCCAAAAAUGGUGUGAUAAUAUUAUCCCCCAUUUGUAGUGUAAAUGAGGAAUGA